GGAAAAACAACCACUGAUGUAAUGUACUUUCUAAACUAAACACAAGGCAUACUCUGUUGCAGCCAUUUGAAUAAUGAUUAAAAGGAAAACCAAAACAAAGAUAAUUUGGACUACUUAGUCCUGAAUACUGAAAGAAAAAGUGUGAGCUCUUCCAUGGUGUGUGGCUGGGAAAUAUUAGCCCUGAACUUUAUGUGCUCUGGAUCAUCUCUGCUCCUAGAGGAGAAAAGAAGGACCUACUCCUAGGACACUCUUUGGAAAGAGUGCAGAAGAUUAAUCAAGAGGAAAACGAGCAGAGGUUUAAUUUACACUCCCAUUUCACAGAAAGACAUCACAACAGCACUUGCUUGUGUGAGGUUUCUGACUGCUUUUUAUGGAAUGAAAGAAAAAUCACAUGAAUUUCAGCUGGAGCAAAGCCAUAGAACUUGAUUUCAUAAUGCAAAUCAUUACAACUCUGGUGCAUCUGGUAUGAGUCACUGGUAUAUUUCACUGAAUUUCUUUGUAUCUGAAGUCAAUCCUUUUCCCUGGGAGGCUCCAAAGUAGAAACAAUGAUAAACUGGUUCUCCUGCCCUGAGCACUCAGGUUCAAUAUGAACAAUGACAACUUUGAUAAAGUUACCAAGCAGAUUUUGGCUAGAGCUAAGAGAGCAAUUUAUAUUAAAC
Molecule: long non-coding RNA, 659 nt
Filed under: Parus major (Great Tit)
Lineage: Eukaryota; Metazoa; Chordata; Aves; Passeriformes; Paridae
Description: lncRNA (ENSPMJG00000001038.1)
Source: RNAcentral